This 71-nucleotide transfer RNA is filed under the name Schistosoma mansoni. Lineage: Eukaryota; Metazoa; Platyhelminthes; Trematoda; Strigeidida; Schistosomatidae. The record is from RNAcentral.
UAUUAAUUUCCCCAACUGGCUAGCGCGUUCGGCUGUUAACCGAAAGGUUGGUGGUUCGAACCCAGCUGGAA